CGGCGGGCGAAGCCCCUGGGGGCUGCCCCUCCCCUAACCGCAAACGGGGCAUAUGGCGGGGGGCGUCAACCUUCGGGGAGAGUGUGCGCGCAUGGCCGGAGGCGGCGCCCUCUGCGACGAUGACCCCCAGUCCUCGCGGGCGGCCGUCUGGUGGUAGGCCUCUCGGAGGAGGGGCUGAACCACCGACCGCUGAACCGGGUUAGGCCCGGAAGGGAGCGGCCCUAAGGCGGGGCGGUCGCGUUGCGGGGGGUGCUGGGGGUAUGCCGCAUGGUGCACGUGCCGGUCAUGCGCGUGCGCGCCCUGAAGGGAUGCCGCCG
Molecule: signal recognition particle RNA, 317 nt
Filed under: Thermoprotei archaeon
Lineage: Archaea; Thermoproteati; Thermoproteota; Thermoprotei
Description: signal recognition particle sRNA
Rfam family: Archaeal signal recognition particle RNA
Source: RNAcentral